Molecule: non-coding RNA, 2496 nt
Organism: Phoenix dactylifera (date palm)
Lineage: Eukaryota; Viridiplantae; Streptophyta; Magnoliopsida; Arecales; Arecaceae
Source: RefSeq, a predicted model, not a curated record
CACCCCUUUCUGUCUCUCCGAGUUCGAUCUUCAUCUGCUGAUGGUGCGGAGGAGGAUUCGGAUCAGAAGGCGGCGCAGGAUGAGGAGGUUACGGAUUUGGGGGUCAGAGCGGCCUUGUCCAUGUUGAAAUUUUACAAAAGAGAGAUAUCACUGCUUCUGCCAUCAAGCUGUCGGUAUGUACCAACUUGCAGCGGGUACUCAAAGCAGGCGUAUAAAAAGUAUGGCGUUGUAAUGGGUACAAUCUUGACAGCUUGGUGUCUCUGCCGUUGCAACCCCCUCGAUUUGUAAAGAUUGUAAGGACAGAAACCUUUCUCAACUAUCUCAUGUAUGAACCAAAUACAUGGAAGAUCAUUCCAAUCUCAAGAACAAUAUUAUAUCUGCAGAGCAAAGUGACAAGAUUGGGUGGUUCCUCCCCCAAGUAAACCAUGGUGCAGAACUAAUUUGAGCACUGUGUUGAUAUUUCUUUAUGAAGCUAGAGAUAUUGUGAUGACUGACGAGGCGGUUAUAAUACUAGAGAUUUAUGAACAAUGUCAAUGCAGAUUGUCUCUUUGCCAACAGACUAUCACUACCUCCAAAAAGAUUCCUAACAUUUUUCUUCUUCCUGUUAUAAAUUAUUAUUCUGGGCAUGCAGUGGCUUGAUGAAGACAUUGCAGAUACGGUCUUUUAUACUACUGUUGGAACUGUCAUGAAAGCAUAUCUCCACAGGAUGUUGUAUCCCAAAUUAAAAGCUCCUUAUAGGAUUUUCUUCUGCAUCUUAACAUUGCUGGAAAGGCUCUUUAAAAUAUAGAAUAUAUGGUGUAGAUGGUGGCAUGUACUCACCCUCUGAAAAAAGAAAAAGAAAAAAAAGAUGAUGGCAUGGACUCAAGCCACCACCUGAGUGGGACAAGCAAACCACUUUCACAAAAUAUUGAUAUGAUGGUGUCACUCUGCUAUAUUGCUUAUGAGGGCCUUAUCCUUACGAUUAUCGGGGAGCAAUGGUUGAUUGUUUAACAUUAAAAAAAAGACCCCCUGCCAUUCUCUUCAAUAUUUAUUUUGACUUUUCUUCAGAACAGGUAAAAAAAGGCAGAUUGUGGGAGCUAGAUGGCCUGAGUCAGCUAGGCGGAUGAAAUGAGAAGAAAUCCAAAACAUAAUCAUCCUUUAUGUGAUUUUCCAUCUCGUGGUAAGUGAGGAAGGCUCAUUAUUCUGGUAUUUCAGAAAUGGGAUUGGUGCAAGUGCGCAAUCAGACUGUUCUUCUGGAUGGCAAUUCAUGGUAGAGGUGGUUAUCGUGGGAAAUGAUGUGGAAGCUCAGACAGUUCUUGAGAAGAUUUGCUGUCAUGGUGCUCAGGAGGUUUUGGCUGAAGUGCCCCAUGAGUGCAAACCAUGGAGUUCCGCUCUUUUUUUCCUUUUUUGGUACAUAAUAGGAGGGGAGGGGGAGGCGUAGAACCUCACCUGCGUAGCAGCCCUUAUUGGGCUCCCCUUUCACCAAGGAAUAUUUGAUGUGGGUCGCAAGUUUCCGCCACUGAGUUAUCUACGUGUGAGUACAUCACCUCAAUGCCAUCUCAGUACUGAUGGAAGGAAAGCAUAUCUACACAGAGCCAUCCGGAUGUGUCGGCAUGCGGUCUUCUGAUUUAAUCAACGUCUGUGUGUUUCAAACCUAGACAACUCAGGUGAAUUCCAAGCUUCCUUCAAGCUUCCUUACUACCAUGCUACCAUCUUGGUGGAGAGUUCUGCUCUUCACAGCGGCCAAUGUGUCGGCGUGAGACUACCACAGAAAUACUACCUAAUGCUCCAAUGCUUGGUGACAGGUUAGACGAAUGCGUGCGCGAUAAUCGUAGCCACGCGGUUCAUCUUGGCAAAACAAAUGGCGUGGCUCUAACAUAUCUGAAUUAUGGAAGGGUUGCUUAGGUUUUUCCAUGUCAUUUUACCGGCUAAAGCAAGACCAGUUGUACCGUGGAGGAUGAAAGAAAAGCACAAGAGUCCAGCUAUUAAUCAGAUAUGAUCUUACAUCUCAUUUAUCAAAUAUGUAUGCUUUUGGGUGGAGUAGCUACCAAACAGACACGAUGAUAUGCCAAUUAUCAAAGCCAAAGCAGGGCUUGGAACGUAGGUAGCACCUGCAUCCUUACAGAAUCCGCCACCAGGCGUCCGUAUGGCAGUAGGGCCAACUAAUAACUAUAAUUGUACCCGACAUGGAGCAACCCGGGUACAAUCAAUCAAAAGCACCACAAAUCUGUUUGCCAAGGUACGCUAUCUGAUCUGUCAUUAAUCAAAGGUUCCAACACACUUCAUAAUAUUAUACAAAACAAUCCUACAAAAUUUUCAUAUCAGCGAACGGUGAUAGGGACCCCACUCUACGUGGAAAGUUUGUGGGAAUCCUUUCCUCGGACUUCCCGUUUACUACUUCAACACCAUCUGCGUUCUGAAAGCCAGGCCUCAGUCGGUCACCUGCGUCACAACCGGGAAGUCCUUGUAAGGCCUAAGUAAGUCAUGCACCCGAAGGACGAAAAAAAAAAAAAAAAA